GCAGGACUUUUUUAUUCAGUUGAUGCGGCAAGAUCGAACACCAACAACAUAAUAUCAUGGUAAUCACCCAGCAAGAGAACGCAGUGAUAAUGGGCCAACAGAAAACACAACAUCAAGAUGCUCGGAAAGGACUUUCUCUUUCGAACAAACAUAAUGGCACGUCAUGUUCAAUCGGCUAACCGUUUGGAAUAAGCGCUCAUCAUCGGUUUCAUGGCAGGGAAGUGAGCAGGCAA
This is a long non-coding RNA of Topomyia yanbarensis, 233 nucleotides long. RefSeq lists it as uncharacterized. The record is from RefSeq and is a predicted model, not a curated record. The transcript has 3 exons. Lineage: Eukaryota; Metazoa; Arthropoda; Insecta; Diptera; Culicidae.